CAGCCGCCACGGGAAUACGAAGGGUGCAAGCGUUAAUCGGAAUUACUGGGCGUAAAGCGUGCGUAGGCGGUGAGUUAAGUCUGCUGUGAAAUCCCCGGGCUCAACCUGGGAAUGGCAGUGGAUACUGGCUCGCUAGAGUGUGUCAGAGGAUGGUGGAAUUCCCGGUGUAGCAGUGAAAUGCGUAGAGAUCGGAAGGAACAUCUGUGGCGAAGGCGACUAUCUGGGCCAACACUGACACUGAGGCACGAAAGCGUGGGGAGCAAACAGGAUUAGAUACCCGAGUAGUCCCUGUCUCUUAUAC
This 301-nucleotide ribosomal RNA is filed under the name uncultured bacterium. RNAcentral describes it as "partial 16S ribosomal RNA". It matches the Rfam family "Bacterial small subunit ribosomal RNA", at positions 509 to 807 of the family's 1533-position model. The record is from RNAcentral.